AUGAAGAAGCAGUCACGUGAUUGGAUGCCUUGCAGUCAGUUGCAGCCUUGUAGCAGCAAGUCGUGCAGUCGAUUCAGCAGAUCGGGCGAGUUCUUGGUGAGAUCGGUCAUCGAUUCAUGCGUUGACUCGGCGAGAUGCGAGCGACAAGUGACCAUCACCGAGCCUGAACUGGUGCGUGAAGUUCUGUCCAACAAGUUGGGUCACCUUGAGAAGCUCAACCUGGGCCGACUUCAAAGGAUGCUGCACCACGGUGUGGGUAGCCAUGAGGGUGAAAAAUGGGUUAAGCACCGGAAGAUCAUCACCCCUGCCUUCCAUCUCGAGAAGCUCAAGCAACCCACCUCCCGAACGGCCCAUAACAAAAUCCACGACCUGCUACAGUUGAGAGUCUCUCGAGACAGUUCCUUCCCGGCCCGAUCCCGGAUCCUCUCCGCCGGCAACGCUCGUCGAAGAAGUGAUGGGGGAGGUGCUCGGCGUGUUCUUGUACAUAGUAGAUGUAGGUUCAGUUUCCGUUCUGGUGUGUUGGGCGUGAUGCCUAGGACUGGCGAUAUGCCGAUGAGGAGCGCGCCGCCUGCGCGUACGAGCAGCGCAUGGUGGCUAGCGGCGAUGCUUUGGUUGGUGGCGGUGGCGUGGUGCUACUCGCUGCUGCGUGAUUCAUCGUCGGCGCAUCCUCCAAUAAGCUCGGUUGCUGCCAUGAUUUGGAGAAGGAUUCGUCCCCUUCCUCUGUUGCUUCAAGCUGCCAUGGAGGUGGAUGGAGCGAUGGUGAUGCUAGAGGAUCUGGUUUUUGCAGGUGGGUUCGGAGCAUAUCAGCAGCGGCAGAUCAGGUGGAGCUACGGCGCCCGCUGGCAGCCGGUCUUCCACACCAUGUCAUUGCCCCUUCUGGCCGAAUGGCGGCCGUGUAUUUCCUCCCAGCCUAAGAGCGAUAGGGGAGGCAGAUGCAUCUUCUAUCUGGAGUUCGAAGCGGUUCCAAGCUGCUGCGAUGGUCUCGUCGCCCCAAGUGGUGCGUCCCCGGCGACGGCGAGUCUACAUCCAGGAAGAAGAUGUUGUGGACCCGAUUGCAAUUUUCAGAUCCAGUUUAGGAGAGAGAGCUGGACUCACAGCUGGAAAGGUUUCAUACGAGAUUUGUUUGGAAACAAAAAGGACCGAGUCCUGGAAGUCCUCGUAUUCGGCAACCUGGAGAGAAAAUCCAUUGCUGAUUAUGUCCAUCCAUCGUGGUUUGAGCUAAAGCAGGAGCCAUCACGUGAUUACCAGAAGAUUUUCUUUUGGUUGGAAUUGCUAUUAGUACAUGAGGGUGUACCAUGUCAGAACGAGAACGAGGUCGCUCCCGUCGACGGGGGGCUCAGGUCCUCAGCAACUCCAUGGAUAAAGUUUGGUGCUGGUUUCGGGAGAGGUGGAACGAGCUUGCCAUUUUGGGAAAAUGUGUAUGGCUUUGAUAUGUCAUCUCUUGGGAAAGAAGUAACAGAGAGUUCAGCUCGAUUUCCUGUUGUUGAUAUACUGGCUUCUCAGGAUGUUGUGACAGAUACCGCUGUACUCCAUGUUCUGCAAGGACAAGCCCGUGGUCCUCUCCACCUCUCCUUUCUCCACGCCAACUCACUGGUCGCAGACAAUCUUCAGUUCUUCACCUUCGAAGAGCCCAUCGCGAUGGUAAAGGAUAGGUCAGUCAUUGGCUCAUCAGCAUCUGUUGGCACGGCUGAAUGCCCAGCUGCGACGAUCAGAUCCCGCAUCAGCAUCGUGAGGGCCUCUGAGCACCGCAGCAUAGACAUAUCAAUCGAAACCACGGGAAUCAGCUCAGAUGGCCGGAAGCGCAGCUGGCCAGCUCAGAUCUUCAACCUUUGA
This 1833-nucleotide ribosomal RNA is filed under the name Triticum aestivum (bread wheat). RNAcentral's name for it is "partial small subunit ribosomal RNA". Lineage: Eukaryota; Viridiplantae; Streptophyta; Magnoliopsida; Poales; Poaceae. The record is from RNAcentral.